Molecule: ribosomal RNA, 408 nt
Filed under: uncultured bacterium
Lineage: Bacteria
Description: partial 16S ribosomal RNA
Rfam family: Bacterial small subunit ribosomal RNA
Source: RNAcentral
GACGAACGCUGGCGGCGUGUUGAACACAUGCAAGUCGAACGAAGUGGCGAACGGGUGAGUAACACGCGAGCAACCUGCCCUCUUCUUUGGGAUAACGGUUGGAAACGGCUGUUACAACUGGAUAGUGGGGGAUGGGCUCGCGGCCUAUCAGCUUGUUGGUGGGGUGAUGGCCUACCCAGGCUUUGACGGGUAACCGGCCGGCGGGGGUGACGGGUCGCAUUGGGGGUGAGUUACGGCCCAGACUCCUACAGUAGGCAGCAGUGGGGGAGUUUGCACAGUGGGCGCAAGCCUGAUGCAGCGACGCCGCGUGAGGGAUAAAGGCCUUCGGGUUGUAAACCUUUUUCGCUCAUGGUCGGGUAGUGGGUAGAGGAGCGCCUGCUAACUACGUGCCAACAGCCGCGGUAAUAC